Uranotaenia lowii is the source of this 1041-nucleotide long non-coding RNA. RefSeq lists it as uncharacterized. The record is from RefSeq and is a predicted model, not a curated record. The transcript has 3 exons. NCBI's taxonomy places the organism in Eukaryota, Metazoa, Arthropoda, Insecta, Diptera, Culicidae.
UUUCGCUAGUGACUGGCCCCCAAAUCUGCCGCUGUUUUCUAAGAAAAGUCCGCUAUUAGUUUGGCCAAAAAGAAAAUUCCUCAUUAAUAAAAUGUCCCCAUUGAUUUCGGAUGUGUACUUCCUUGAAUUUCAUCGUAAAUGGUGCUGAAAAUUAAAAUUGUGACUCUUGUAAAAUUAUUUUGAAUUGACCCGCUAAUAGAGAAAAGAGAAAGGAGCCUACACACUAAGAUUGCAAUUAUUCCGCUCGGGACCAUGAUCCUCUGAAUUACAGGAAAACAGCUCAAAAUGACACUUGGAAUUGUCAAAAACAAGUGUUUUCCUGGGCCACGGGUAGAUAGCUAACCGAAUCACGUGACAAACCCUUGAUCCUGAAAUUCAAAGGGAAUUUCCUUUCGAGUGUUCAGGAAAACGAACAAAUUCAGGAUAGAAGUCUCCUGUAUCUCGCGACGUUGCUAAAUGACAGUUGUGGUGGUUUCGAAAUGUGUUUUUUGCAGACUUUAUUAGCUCGCUGUUGGUUUCAUCGUGGAAGUGAAACCGUCUUCCCGAAAAAGGUUAGUUGCUGAAGUCCGGGCUGGAGGAACAGUUCUCCCCGAAGGAUCCUCCAGCGCAGUUAUAUGCCAAAAAAUCAACUGCCCGCCGAAUGGUUCUCCGUCGUUCAACUCGUGGCCCAGUUCGUGGCAUGAUUCCACCGUCAAACAUGUGGUUGAGCUGGCGACCAGCAGCGACGUCGUUAUUUUAUUAACAAAACUUUUACUAAUAAUAUGCUUCUCAUUAAGAACAAUAAAAGUUUAUUGAUUUGAAAAAUAUUAAAUUUUUAAUUUUCUACAUUAUUCCAUUCCAAUUUCAAUGUAAACAUCGAAAGAAAACAGUCCUGAGCCUACAGGAUAGAUCGAAAACUUUCUGCAAAUCACAGGAGAAAGCUGUUGCGAGCCUACAGGGCAUGGUUUUCCUGAGCUAUUUUGCUGUCCUGAAAUCGUCCUGUAAUUUCAGCUGUUGAAAAUACAGGACGAAAUCGUUCCGACCACAGGAGAAAAGAUUAAG